CGCGUAGGCGGCGGGUCAAGUCGAGUGUGAAAGCCCCGGGCUCAACCUGGGAGGUGCGCUCGAGACUGGUCUGCUUGAGUUCGGGAGAGGAGCGUGGAAUUCCCAGUGUAGAGGUGAAAUUCGUAGAUAUUGGGAAGAACACCGGUGGCGAAGGCGGCGCUCUGGACCGAGACUGACGCUGAGGUGCGAAAGCGUGGGUAGCGAACA
This 207-nucleotide ribosomal RNA is filed under the name uncultured bacterium. RNAcentral describes it as "partial 16S ribosomal RNA". It matches the Rfam family "Bacterial small subunit ribosomal RNA", at positions 568 to 774 of the family's 1533-position model. The record is from RNAcentral.